UCAGGCCUAACACAUGCAAGUCGUACGAGAGUUUUUAACUCUAGUGGCGGACGGGUGAGUAACACGUGAGAAUUUGCCUUUAGGAGGGGGACAACAAUUGGAAACGAAUGCUAAUACCCCAUAUGCUUUCGAGUGAAAUGGAUUUUAUCCGCCUAGAGAGAAGCUCGCGGCUGAUUAGCUUGUUGGUAAGGUAAGAGCUUACCAAGGCGACGAUCAGUAUCUGGUUUGAGAGGACGAUCAGACACACUGGAACUGAGACACGGUCCAGACUCCUACGGGAGGCAGCAGUGGGGAAUUUUCCGCAAAGGGCGAAAGCCUGACGGAGCAAUACCGCGUGAGGGAAGAAGGCCUAUGGGUUGUAAACCUCU
This 368-nucleotide ribosomal RNA is filed under the name uncultured bacterium. RNAcentral's name for it is "bacterial SSU rRNA". It matches the Rfam family "Bacterial small subunit ribosomal RNA", at positions 42 to 434 of the family's 1533-position model. The record is from RNAcentral.